GCCGUCAUAGCACAGUGGUAGUUGCGCCUGCCUAGUAAUUCGAGUCCCCUAUUUCAUUAGGGAUUAUGUAAUUAGUAGUUUAGCAGGAGGUCGAGAGUUCAAGCCUCUCUGAUGGCA
Molecule: transfer RNA, 117 nt
Filed under: Microbotryum lychnidis-dioicae p1A1 Lamole
Lineage: Eukaryota; Fungi; Basidiomycota; Microbotryomycetes; Microbotryales; Microbotryaceae
Description: tRNA-Thr for anticodon AGU
Rfam family: tRNA
About the family: Transfer RNA (tRNA) molecules are approximately 80 nucleotides in length. Their secondary structure includes four short double-helical elements and three loops (D, anti-codon, and T loops). Further hydrogen bonds mediate the characteristic L-shaped molecular structure. tRNAs have two regions of fundamental functional importance: the anti-codon, which is responsible for specific mRNA codon recognition, and the 3' end, to which the tRNAs corresponding amino acid is attached (by aminoacyl-tRNA synthetases). tRNAs cope with the degeneracy of the genetic code in two manners: having more than one tRNA (with a specific anti-codon) for a particular amino acid; and 'wobble' base-pairing, i.e. permitting non-standard base-pairing at the 3rd anti-codon position.
Source: Rfam by way of RNAcentral